AACAAUUUAAUUGAAAUGCAUAUACAACUCAUAUCCAUUUUGAUUUUGUUCUCUUCCCUUUUUUUUUGGUCAAGUCCUCAAUUCUUUUUAGCCUCCUUAAUUUCAUUGAUAGUUCCAGCUAUUCAUUUGUCAAAAUUACAAUUUGGUUGCUGCAAAAAAAAAAAAAAAACACAUACUGUACAUAUUAUUCUGCUAACCUAAUAAUUUUAUACCAUUUCUAUUUGUGUUACAUAACGUGAACUAUGAAUUUCUUUGGAAAAA
RNAcentral lists this long non-coding RNA (261 nucleotides) under Capsella rubella. RNAcentral describes it as "long non-coding RNA (CRUB_LNC001065)". The record is from RNAcentral. Lineage: Eukaryota; Viridiplantae; Streptophyta; Magnoliopsida; Brassicales; Brassicaceae.